GUCGAGCGGCAGCGCGAGGGCAACCUUGGCGGCGAGCGGCGAACGGGUGAGUAAUACAUCGGAACGUAUCCCGUAGAGGGGGAUAGCCCGGCGAAAGCCGGAUUAAUACCGCAUAUGCUCUACGGAGGAAAGUGGGGGACUCGUAAGGGCCUCACGCUAUGGGAGCGGCCGAUGUCCGAUUAGCUAGUUGGUGGGGUAAAGGCCUACCAAGGCGACGAUCGGUAGCUGGUCUGAGAGGAUGAUCAGCCACACUGGGACUGAGACACGGCCCAGNNNCCUACGGGAGNNNNNAGUGGGNNNNNUU
This 304-nucleotide ribosomal RNA is filed under the name uncultured soil bacterium. Its description in RNAcentral is "partial 16S ribosomal RNA". It matches the Rfam family "Bacterial small subunit ribosomal RNA", at positions 61 to 365 of the family's 1533-position model. The record is from RNAcentral.